UACGAGAGGUCCAAACGUUAUUCGGAAUUACUGGGCUUACAGAGUUCGUAGGCGGCUCUACAAGUGAGGUGUGAAAGCCCUCGGCUCAACCGAGGAACUGCGCUUCAAACUGUAGAACUAGAGGGAGAUAGAGGUGAGCAGAACUGAUGGUGGAGCGGUGAAAUGCGUUGAUAUCAUCAGGAAGACCAGUGGCGAAGGCGGGUCUCUGGACAGUUCCUGACGCUGAGGCACGAAGGUCAGGGGAGCAAACGGG
This 253-nucleotide ribosomal RNA is filed under the name uncultured bacterium. RNAcentral describes it as "partial 16S ribosomal RNA". It matches the Rfam family "Bacterial small subunit ribosomal RNA", at positions 524 to 776 of the family's 1533-position model. The record is from RNAcentral.